UUAUUCCUACGGGAGGCAGCAGUAGGGAAUUUUCGUCAAUGGGCGCAAGCCUGAACGAGCAAUGCCGCGUGAACGAGGAAGGUCUUCGGAUCGUAAAGUUCUGUUGAAGGGGAAAAAGAGCGGAGAGAGGAAAUGGUCUCCGAUUGAUAUUACCCUUCGAGGAAGUCACGGCUAACUACGUGCCAGCAGCCGCGGUAAUACGUAGGUGGCGAGCGUUAUCGGGAAUGAUUGGGCGUAAAGGGUGCGUAGGGGGCCUGCUAAGUCUGGAGUGAAAGUUACCGGCUCAA
RNAcentral lists this ribosomal RNA (287 nucleotides) under uncultured bacterium. Its description in RNAcentral is "partial 16S ribosomal RNA". It matches the Rfam family "Bacterial small subunit ribosomal RNA", at positions 333 to 612 of the family's 1533-position model. The record is from RNAcentral.